RNAcentral lists this ribosomal RNA (258 nucleotides) under uncultured bacterium. RNAcentral describes it as "partial 16S ribosomal RNA". It matches the Rfam family "Bacterial small subunit ribosomal RNA", at positions 524 to 777 of the family's 1533-position model. The record is from RNAcentral.
UACGUAGGUGGCGAGCGUUUGUCCGGAUUUAUUGGGUUAAAGGGUGCGUAGGCGGCUUUGUAAGUCAGUGGUGAAAUACUCCAGCUUAACUGGAGGGGUGCCAUUGAUACUGCGGAGCUUGAGUACAGAUGAGGUAGGCGGAAUUGACGGUGUAGCGGUGAAAUGCAUAGAUAUCGUCAAGAACACCGAUAGCGAAGGCAGCUUACUGGGCUGUAAACUGACGCUGGAUGCACGAAAAGUGUGGGGAUCAAAACAGGA